RNAcentral lists this ribosomal RNA (253 nucleotides) under uncultured bacterium. RNAcentral's name for it is "partial 16S ribosomal RNA". It matches the Rfam family "Bacterial small subunit ribosomal RNA", at positions 524 to 776 of the family's 1533-position model. The record is from RNAcentral.
UACGUAGGUUGCGAGCGUUAUUCGGAUUCACUGGGCGUAAAGGGUGCGCAGGCGGCCGUGUGUGUAAGGUGUGAAAUCCCGAGGCUCAACCUCGGAACUGCGCCUUAAACUACAUGGCUAGAGUAUUGGAGAGGGUAACGGAAUUCACGGUGUAGCAGUGAAAUGCGUAGAUAUCGUGAGGAACACCAGAGGCGAAGGCGGUUACCUGGACAAUUACUGACGCUCAGGCACGAAAGCAUGGGGAGCAAAAGGG